This 73-nucleotide transfer RNA is filed under the name Lapillicoccus jejuensis. It matches the Rfam family "tRNA". From Rfam's summary of the family: Transfer RNA (tRNA) molecules are approximately 80 nucleotides in length. Their secondary structure includes four short double-helical elements and three loops (D, anti-codon, and T loops). Lineage: Bacteria; Bacillati; Actinomycetota; Actinomycetes; Micrococcales; Intrasporangiaceae. The record is from Rfam by way of RNAcentral.
AGGGCACUAGCUCAACUGGCAGAGCACCGGUCUCCAAAACCGGGGGUUGGGGGUUCGAGUCCCUCGUGCCCUG